AUAGGGGAGCCGGAGGGAAACCGAGUCUUAAUUGGGCGUUAAGUUGCAGGGUAUAGACCCGAAACCCGGUGAUCUAGCCAUGGGCAGGUUGAAGGUUGGGUAACACUAACUGGAGGACCGAACCGACUAAUGUUGAAAAAUUAGCGGAUGACCUGUGGCUGGGGGUGAAAGGCCAAUCAAACCGGGAGAUAGCUGGUUCUCCCCGAAAGCUAUUUAGGUAGCGCCUCGUGAAUUCAUCUCCGGGGGUAGAGCACUGUUUCGGCUAGGGGGCCAUCCCGGCUUACCAACCCGAUGCAAACUGCGAAUACCGGAGAAUGUUAUCACGGGAGACACACGGCGGGUGCUAACGUCCGUCGUGAAGAGGGAAACAACCCAGACCGCCAGCUAAGGUCCCAAAGUCAUGGUUAAGUGGGAAACGAUGUGGGAAGGCCCAGACAGCCAGGAUGUUGGCUUAGAAGCAGCCAUCAUUUAAAGAAAGCGUAAUAGCUCACUGGUCGAGUCGGCCUGCGCGGAAGAUGUAACGGGGCUAAACCAUGCACCGAAGCUGCGGCAGCGACACUGUGUGUUGUUGGGUAGGGGAGCGUUCUGUAAGCCUGUGAAGGUGUGUCGUGAGGC
Molecule: ribosomal RNA, 615 nt
Filed under: Salmonella enterica subsp. enterica serovar Enteritidis
Lineage: Bacteria; Pseudomonadati; Pseudomonadota; Gammaproteobacteria; Enterobacterales; Enterobacteriaceae
Description: partial 23S ribosomal RNA
Rfam family: Bacterial large subunit ribosomal RNA
Source: RNAcentral